GACGAACGCUGGCGGCGUGCUUAACACAUGCAAGUCGAACGGAAAGGCCCUGCUUUUGUGGGGUGCUCGAGUGGCGAACGGGUGAGUAACACGUGAGUAACCUGCCCUUGACUUUGGGAUAACUUCAGGAAACUGGGGCUAAUACCGGAUAGGAGCUCCUGCUGCAUGGUGGGGGUUGGAAAGUUUCGGCGGUUGGGGAUGGACUCGCGGCUUAUCAGCUUGUUGGUGGGGUAGUGGCUUACCAAGGCUUUGACGGGUAGCCGGCCUGAGAGGGUGACCGGCCACAUUGGGACUGAGAUACGGCCCAGACUCCUACGGGAGGCAGCAGUGGGGAAUAUUGUACAAUGGGCGGAAGCCUGAUGCAGCAACGCCGCGUGCGGGAUGACGGCCUUCGGGUUGUAAACCGCUUUCGCCUGUGACGAAGCGUGAGUGGCGGUAAUGGGUAAAGAAGCACCGGCUAACUACGUG
RNAcentral lists this ribosomal RNA (468 nucleotides) under uncultured bacterium. RNAcentral's name for it is "partial 16S ribosomal RNA". It matches the Rfam family "Bacterial small subunit ribosomal RNA", at positions 28 to 507 of the family's 1533-position model. The record is from RNAcentral.